Molecule: ribosomal RNA, 492 nt
Filed under: uncultured bacterium
Lineage: Bacteria
Description: partial 16S ribosomal RNA
Rfam family: Bacterial small subunit ribosomal RNA
Source: RNAcentral
AGUGAACGCUGGCGGCAUGCCUAACACAUGCAAGUCGAACGGCAGCACAGUAAAAGCCUGCUCUUACGGGUGGCGAGUGGCGUACGGGCGAGGAGUACAGCGGAAUCUACUCUUUCUUGGGUGAUAACGUAGGGAAACUUACGCUAAUACCGCAUAUGACCUAUGGGUGAAAGCAGGGGAUCGUCUGUCCUUGCGAGAUUGAAUUCGCCGAUGUCGGAUUAGCUAGUUGGCGGGGUAAAGGCCCACCAAGGCGACGAUCCGUAGCUAGUCUGAGAGGACGAACAGCCACAAUGGAACUGAGACACGGCCCAGACGGCUACGGGAGGCAGCAGAGGGGAAUAUUGGACAAUGGGCGGAAGACUAAUGCAGAAAGAGCGCGUGGGUGAAGAAGGCACUCGGGUUGAAUAGAGCUGUUGUUGGGAAAGAAAAGCAGCAGAUUAAUACCCCGCUGUUAUGACGGUACCCGAAGAAUAAGCACCGGCUAACUUCGUG